Molecule: ribosomal RNA, 501 nt
Filed under: uncultured bacterium
Lineage: Bacteria
Description: partial 16S ribosomal RNA
Rfam family: Bacterial small subunit ribosomal RNA
Source: RNAcentral
AGASUUUGAUCCUGGGSUCASGACGAACGCUGGCGGCGUGCCUAACACAUGCAAGCUCGAGCGAUGAAAUCCUUCGGGAUGGAUUAGCGGCGGACGGGUGAGUAACACAUGGGUAACCUGCCUCAWASAGGGGGAUAGCCUCCCGAAAGGGAGAUUAAUACCGCAUAACAUUAUUUUUUCUSAUGGAASACUAAUUAAAGGAGAAAUCCGCUUUGAGAUGGACCCGCGUGCGCAUUACCUASUUGGAGAGGUAAAGGCUCACCAWGGCGACGAUGCGUAGCCGACCUGASAGGGUGAUCGGWCACAUUGGAACUGAGACACGGUCCAGACUCCUACGGGAGGCAGWAGUGGGGAAUAUUGCACAAUGGGCGAAAGCCUGAUGCAGCAACGCCGCGUGAGUGAAGAAGGCCUUCGUGGUUGUAAAGCUCUGUCUUUUGGGACGAUAAUGACGGUACCAAAGGAGGAAGCCACGGCUAACUACGUGCCAKCAGCCGCGGUAAU